This 65-nucleotide transfer RNA is filed under the name Limonius californicus. RNAcentral describes it as "tRNA-Tyr". It matches the Rfam family "tRNA". From Rfam's summary of the family: Transfer RNA (tRNA) molecules are approximately 80 nucleotides in length. Their secondary structure includes four short double-helical elements and three loops (D, anti-codon, and T loops). Lineage: Eukaryota; Metazoa; Arthropoda; Insecta; Coleoptera; Elateridae. The record is from RNAcentral.
AGUAAGAUGGCUGAGAUUUAAGCGAUAAAUUGUAAAUUUAUUUACGGAAUUAGUUCCUUUUACUA